UGGGGAAUUUUGCGCAAUGGGGGAAACCCUGACGCAGCGACGCCGCGUGGAGGACGAAGGUCUUCGGAUUGUAAACUCCUUUUGCAGGGGAAGAUAAUGACGGUACCCUGCGAAUAAGCCACGGCUAACUCUGUGCCAGCAGCCGCGGUAAGACAGAGGUGGCAAGCGUUGUUCGGAAUUACUGGGCUUAAAGGGCGCGUAGGCGGUGGAGUAAGUCCGGGGUGGAAGUCUAAGGCUCAACCUUAGGAUUGCCCUGGAAACUGCAUCACUUGAGUCAGCGAGGGGAUGGCGGAAUUCCCAGUGUAGCGGUGAAAUGCGUAGAUAUUGGGAGGAAGGCCGGUGGCGAAGGCGGCCAUCUGGCGCUGAACUGACGCUGAGGCGCGAAAGCGUGGGGAGCAAACCGGAUUAGAUACCCGGGUAGUCCACGCCCUAAACGUUGGACACUAGGUGUGGGGGGUAUCGACCCCCUCCGUGCCGAAGCUAACGCUCUAAGUGUCCCGCCUGGGAAGUACGGCCGCAAGGCUA
This 525-nucleotide ribosomal RNA is filed under the name uncultured bacterium. RNAcentral describes it as "bacterial SSU rRNA". It matches the Rfam family "Bacterial small subunit ribosomal RNA", at positions 355 to 896 of the family's 1533-position model. The record is from RNAcentral.